GGGGACUCGUGAGAGACUGCCGGGGUCAACUCGGAGGAAGGUGGGGAUGACGUCAAGUCAUCAUGCCCCUUAUGUCCAGGGCUUCACACAUGCUACAAUGGCCGGUACAAAGGGCUGCGAUGCCGUGGGGUGGAGCGAAUCCUUUCAAAGCCGGUCUCAGUUCGGAUCGGGGUCUGCAACUCGACCCCGUGAAGUCGGAGUCGCUAGUAAUCGCAGAUCAGCAACGCUGCGGUGAAUACGUUCCCGGGCCUUGUA
RNAcentral lists this ribosomal RNA (255 nucleotides) under Mycobacterium sp. ITM-2017-0098. Its description in RNAcentral is "partial 16S ribosomal RNA". It matches the Rfam family "Bacterial small subunit ribosomal RNA", at positions 1133 to 1385 of the family's 1533-position model. Lineage: Bacteria; Bacillati; Actinomycetota; Actinomycetes; Mycobacteriales; Mycobacteriaceae. The record is from RNAcentral.